UACGGGGGGAGCAAACGUUGUUCGGAUUCAUUGGGCGUAAAGGGUGCGUAGGCGGCGCGGUAAGUCGGGUGUGAAAUCUCGGAGCUUAACUCCGAAACUGCAUUCGAUACUGCCGUGCUUGAGGACUGGAGAGGAGACUGGAAUUUACGGUGUAGCGGUGAAAUGCGUAGAUAUCGUAAGGAAGACCAGUGGCGAAGGCGGGUCUCUGGACAGUUCCUGACGCUGAGGCACGAAGGCCAGGGGAGCAAACGGG
RNAcentral lists this ribosomal RNA (253 nucleotides) under uncultured bacterium. RNAcentral's name for it is "partial 16S ribosomal RNA". It matches the Rfam family "Bacterial small subunit ribosomal RNA", at positions 524 to 776 of the family's 1533-position model. The record is from RNAcentral.